RNAcentral lists this ribosomal RNA (497 nucleotides) under uncultured bacterium. RNAcentral's name for it is "partial 16S ribosomal RNA". It matches the Rfam family "Bacterial small subunit ribosomal RNA", at positions 28 to 507 of the family's 1533-position model. The record is from RNAcentral.
GACGAACGCUGGCGGCGUGCCUAAUACAUGCAAGUUGAGCGCUGAAGGUUGGUACUUGUACCCACUGGAUGAGCAGCGAACGGGUGAGUAACGCGUGGGGAAUCUGCCUUUGAGCGGGGGACAACAUUUGGAAACGAAUGCUAAUACCGCAUAAAAACUUUAAACACAAGUUUUAAGUUUGAAAGAUGCAAUUGCAUCACUCAAAGAUGAUCCCGCGUUGUAUUAGCUAGUUGGUGAGGUAAAGGCUCACCAAGGCGAUGAUACAUAGCCGACCUGAGAGGGUGAUCGGCCACAUUGGGACUGAGACACGGCCCAAACUCCUACGGGAGGCAGCAGUAGGGAAUCUUCGGCAAUGGACGAAAGUCUGACCGAGCAACGCCGCGUGAGUGAAGAAGGUUUCCGGAUCGUAAAACUCUGUUGGUAGAGAAGAACGUUGGUGAGAGUGGAAAGCUCAUCAAGUGACGGUAACUACCCAGAAAGGGACGGCUAACUACGUG